CUGCCCCUCUGCUUCGCGCGCCAAACACGCGAGCAGCAACCGCGCCAGGACCCGCCCGCGCGCCGCCAAGGCCGCGAGUCGCUGGUCCGCGCUCGCGCCGCCGAGACCGCGAGCUUGGCUGGUCCGCACUCGCGUCGCCAAGGCCGCCGGGGCUGCUGGCUUGUGCCCGCACCGACGCCGAGGGGCCGCGCUCGGGGCUACCCGCGCGAGCCGCCGGGGGGGCCGCACCAGGCCGCACUCGCGCGCUGCCGCCGUCGUCGGGCCGCCGUGCGCCAGCCACGGCGCGCCGCCGGCUGCUACCCCGACGCCGAGCAGUGCCCGCGCCUGGAGCCGCCAGCCGACCGUGCUGCGCAGACGACCCGCCCCGCCGGACCUGCAGCCUCGACGCCGCCGUCCCUGCUCCACGCCGGCGUCCUGCCUCGUCGUGCCUCCACUCUGCUCCGGCACCGCACGCCGUGGUCAGGUCGUCGCUCAUCUCCGACCUCGCUUCACCUCACCCUUCUCCCUGCCGCGAGCGCUCCCCGCUGCGGCCUCCUCUUCCCUUGCUGUCGGGCACUGUCUGCCUCUGUUCCCAGCUGCGCUACCGCAGCCACUCCCUGCCGUCGGGCGCCGUCGGCCCCAACUCCCAGCCACUCCGCCCGACUCGUUCCUCGUGGCUGCGCGCGCCCUUCUGGACGGCCCUUCGCGCUCCUCGCGCCGUUGCGCUUCUCCUAA
RNAcentral lists this unclassified non-coding RNA (714 nucleotides) under Zea mays. RNAcentral's name for it is "misc RNA Zm00001eb079880". Lineage: Eukaryota; Viridiplantae; Streptophyta; Magnoliopsida; Poales; Poaceae. The record is from RNAcentral.